RNAcentral lists this ribosomal RNA (520 nucleotides) under uncultured Glomus. RNAcentral describes it as "SSU rRNA". It matches the Rfam family "Eukaryotic small subunit ribosomal RNA", at positions 569 to 1090 of the family's 1831-position model. The record is from RNAcentral. Lineage: Eukaryota; Fungi; Glomeromycota; Glomeromycetes; Glomerales; Glomeraceae.
AGCAGCCGCGGUAAUUCCAGCUCCAAUAGCGUAUAUUAAAGUUGUUGCAGUUAAAAGGCUCGUAGUUGAAUUUCGGGAUCAGUUGGUCGGUCGUGCCUCGGUACGUACUGGUCAAAUUGAUUCCUACCUUCUGACGAACCACGAUGUCAUUAAUUUGGUGUCGCGGGAAAUCAGGACUGUUACCUUGAAAAAAUUAGAGUGUUUAAAGCAGGCUCGCGCUUGAAUACAUUAGCAUGGAAUAAUGAAAUAGGACGUUUGAUUCUAUUUUGUUGGUUUCUAGGAUCGACGUAAUGAUUAAUAGGGAUAGUUGGGGGCAUUAGUAUUCAAUUGUCAGAGGUGAAAUUCUUGGAUUUAUUGAAGACUAACUACUUGCGAAAGCAUUUGCCAAGGAUGUUUUCAUUAAUCAAGAACGAAAGUUAGGGGAUCGAAGACGAUCAGAUACCGUCGUAGUCUUAACCAUAAACUAUGCCGACUAGGGAUCGGAUGAUGUUAAUUUUUUAAUGACUCAUUCGGCGCCUUA